UAGACGCGAAACCGUGUGAUCUACCCAUGGGCAGGUUGAAGCUGUAGUAACAUACAGUGGAGGACCGAACCGGUUGACGUUGAAAAGUCUUCGGAUGACCUGUGGGUAGGGGUGAAAGGCCAAUCAAACUCGGAAAUAGCUCGUACUCCCCGAAAUGCAUUUAGGUGCAGCGUUGAUUUAUAGUUUUAUAGAGGUAGAGCUACUGAUUGGAUGCGGGGGCUUCACCGCCUACCAAUUCCUGACAAACUCCGAAUGCUAUAAAAUGUUAAUCAGCAGUGAGGGCAUGGGUGCUAAGGUCCAUGUCCGAGAGGGAAAGAACCCAGACCAUCAGCUAAGGUCCCUAAAUAUAUGUUAAGUUGAAUAAACGAGGUUGAACUGCUUUGACAGCUAGGAUGUUGGCUUGGAAGCAGCCAUUCAUUUAAAGAGUGCGUAACAGCUCACUAGUCGAGCGGUUCGGCAUGGAUAAUAAUCGGGCAUAAACAUAUUACCGAAGCUAUGGACUUGUAAAAGUGGUAGGGGAGCAUUGUAGUGGCGUUGAAGGUGUGCUGUGAGGCAUGCUGGAGUAGCUACAAAAGAAAAUGUAGGCAUAAGUAACGAUAAUGCGGGCGAGAAACCCGCACACCGAAAGACUAAGGUUUCCUCAGCUAUGCUAAUCAGCUGAGGGUUAGUCGGGACCUAACGCGAACCCGAAAGGGUAGUGGAUGGCCAACAGGUUAAUAUUCCUGUACCUGCUCACACUAAAAGUGACGGAGGCGAAAAGUUAGUGCGCACUGACGGAAUAGUGCGUUGAAGCCAGUGGUAACACGCCGAUAGUACACUGAGACUACGGUCAAGGUGAUAAUCUAGCAAAUCGACUUCCAAGAAAAGCGAGUGAAGCAGCCCGUACCCUAAACCGACACAGGUAGUUGGGAUGAGAAUUCUAAGGUGCUCGAGAGAUUCAUGGCUAAGGAACUAGGCAAAAUUGACGCGUAACUUCGGGAGAAGCGUCGCCCAUAGCAAGACAGGCCGCAGUGAAAAGAUCCAAGCGACUGUUUAUCAAAAACACAGGGCUCUGCUAAAUCGAAAGAUGAUGUAUAGGGCCUGACACCUGCCCGGUGCCGGAAGGCCAAAAGGAGAUGUUAUCCUCGGAGAAGCAUUGAAUUGAAGCCCCGGUAAACGGCGGCCGUAACAAUAACGGUCCUAAGGUAGCGAAAUUCCUUGUCGGGUAAGUUCCGACCUGCACGAAUGGUGCAACGAUCUGGGCACUGUCUCAGCUAUGUCCUCGGUGAAAUUGUAGUAUCGGUGAAGAUGCCGAUUACCCGCAACGGGACGGAAAGGCAUCAUUGCAGCUCAUCUCGGUGACAACAGACUAGACACUGCAGUAGUUGGGCUGCCUAAAUUCUAAGAUGGAGGAUGAAUACACAAGUGAACAACUUGAGGAGUUCAAAGAGGCUUUCAGCCUUUUCGACAAAGAUGGUGACGGUACAAUUGAUGCAGAUGAGCUUGGUACCGUGCUGCGAUCGCUCGGUCAUCAGCCGACGGAAGAAGAAGUCGAAGAUAUGAUUAAAGAGGCGGAUAUGGAUGGUAACGGGACCAUUGAUUUUGAGGAGUUUAUCCAGAUGAUGCCUUCAGCCUCACGAAAUGAGCGAGAUGAAAACGCUGAAGAAGAAAUGAGAGAAGCUUUUCAAAUAUUUGACGCUGAUGGCAAUGGAAAGAUUACAAGUGAAGAACUCCGUCUGAUUAUGGAGAAUCUUGGAGAGAAAUUAACUGACGAAGAGAUAACAGACAUGGUCAAGGAAGCUGAUAUCGAUGGGGAUGGCGAGAUAAACUACAGGAGUUUGUGCGAAUGAUGUUCAAGUAGACGAUCCCUACAGGCGCUUCGGCCUCUCAGA
Molecule: ribosomal RNA, 1871 nt
Filed under: Cylindrotheca closterium
Lineage: Eukaryota; Bacillariophyta; Bacillariophyceae; Bacillariales; Bacillariaceae
Description: bacterial LSU rRNA
Rfam family: Bacterial large subunit ribosomal RNA (bases 1-1357)
Source: RNAcentral